AUGGCCCUGGAGUCUGAAAAUGUGUGGGAAAGAAAUUCGACAGGGAAGAAAAGCAAGUCACCAGGGACUGUAUCCUUGAUUAGUGGCUGCGAUCCUGCAACACACUUCAUCCUGCCCAAUCCCUAUCGAUGUUGGCAUUUUCCUACUCAAUUGAUGUCCUCGUAUUUUCCCUGCUCCAUCUACACACCAUAUAUUUCCUCAGCUUUCUCCCAGCCAAGCUAUUGGGGAAAAUGGUGUCUAGAAAUAUAUGGGCUGCUAUUCCAGGGUCUCCAAGCCUUCCACUGUGUCCAUCUGAACUUAAGUUAUUUUUACUUCUGAAAACAGCAUGUGGAAUUAAUCAUUUGAAUCAUCGUGACUAAGAGGAGAAUAAUCACAAAUAGAGA
Molecule: long non-coding RNA, 383 nt
Filed under: Pan troglodytes (chimpanzee)
Lineage: Eukaryota; Metazoa; Chordata; Mammalia; Primates; Hominidae
Description: lncRNA (ENSPTRG00000053357.1)
Source: RNAcentral